RNAcentral lists this ribosomal RNA (605 nucleotides) under uncultured bacterium. Its description in RNAcentral is "bacterial SSU rRNA". The stretch from base 1 to 520 matches the Rfam family "Bacterial small subunit ribosomal RNA", at positions 338 to 873 of the family's 1533-position model. The record is from RNAcentral.
CCUACGGGAGGCAGCAGUGGGGAAUAUUGCACAAUGGGCGGAAGCCUGAUGCAGCGACGCCGCGUGAGGGAUAAAGGCCUUCGGGUUGUAAACCUCUUUCAGCAGGGACGAAGCGUGAGUGACGGUACCUGCAGAAGAAGCACCGGCUAACUACGUGCCAGCAGCCGCGGUAAUACGUAGGGUGCGAGCGUUGUCCGGAAUUACUGGGCGUAAAGAGUUCGUAGGCGGUUUGUCGCGUCGUUUGUGAAAACCCCGGGGCUCAACUUCGGGCUUGCAGGCGAUACGGGCAGACUUGAGUGUUUCAGGGGAGACUGGAAUUCCUGGUGUAGCGGUGAAAUGCGCAGAUAUCAGGAGGAACACCGGUGGCGAAGGCGGGUCUCUGGGAAACACUGACGCUGAGGACGAAAGCGUGGGUAGCAAACAGGAUUAGAUACCCUGGUAGUCCACGCCGUAAACGGUGGCGCUAGGUGUGGGUUCCUUCCACGGGUAUCUGUGCCGUAGCUAACGCAUAGUCGCCGCCGUCGGUAGGUACGGCCGCGACGGACGUAACGUUAAACGUAAGUUAGUACGGCGUGAGUAACGUCGUCCGUUACGGACGUACGACG